RNAcentral lists this ribosomal RNA (203 nucleotides) under Pachycondyla impressa. RNAcentral describes it as "partial large subunit ribosomal RNA". The record is from RNAcentral. Lineage: Eukaryota; Metazoa; Arthropoda; Insecta; Hymenoptera; Formicidae.
GAAUUUUAUAUAACUUAUUAUAUUAGAUAUAUAAAAGGUUAUAUUUGAUUGGGAGGAUAAUUAAAUUAAAUAAACUUUAAUAAAUUAAUAACUUGAAUUGGUGAAAUAAAAAAAUGAUUAAAUUGUAUAUUAUAUUAAAAUAAAUUACCUUAGGGAUAACAGCAUAAUAUUAUUUUUUAGUUCAUAUAUAAAAUAAUGUUUAU